AUGGAGGUUCCCAGGCGAGGGGUCAAAUCAGAGCUACAGCUGCCAGCCUACACCACAGCCACAGCAACUCAGGAUCCCAACCGUGUCUGCGACCUACACCACAGCUCACAGCAACACCAGAUCCUUAACCCACUAAGGCCUGGAAUCAAACCUACAUCCUCAUGUAUACUAGUCAGGUUCAAUAGCACUGAGCCACAAUGGGAACUCCCAAAGGGAGCUUUCCAAAACACCAUUCCAGUCAUGUCACCACCACCACCCCAGCCUCGCGUUGUACUUGGAAUCGUAUCCAAACUCCUAAAUAGUGAAGAUCCAGCCCCACGUGGUCUGAACUCUCUCUCACUCCGAUCAUCUCUUACCACGUUCUUCCAGAUUCCGAAAUCCAGCUGCAUUGUCCAUUCUGCAUUUUCAACACACUGGUCCUGCUCAACCCCAGGGCCUUUGCACUUGCAGUUUCAUGUGCUUGUCUUGCUUUCCCCUGAAGUUCUCACAGCCCAUUCCUGGUCAUACAGAUCUCAGCUGAACCGUCACCUCUGUGGGGAAGCUGUCCUUGACCCCCCAGUUGAAAAGGGUUUUCCAUCACAUCACCCAUUUUUAAUGCUUUACAGUGCACCUGUCACACCUGACAGUUUUCUUAUUCGUUUUUCCUUUGUGUGCUAUCUGUGUCUCUCACCAGAGUGGGAGCCCCAGGAGCCGGAGAUCCCAUCAGUCAGGUGGACAGCUAUGCCCCCAGCAUCUGGCCCAGCACCUGGCUCAGCCCUGGUGCUCGGUCUCCGUGACAUGAGCGACUGCAUCGUCUCAUCACCCACCCAACCGCCCCCAAAACCUUGGCCUUUCCCACAUGGUCAAGAUCAGUGUCCCAGGUGUGUCAGAGCUCAAGGGCAGGGUGAAGGGGAGUGGCCGUCACUGUGGCUGCCUUUCCCCCACCCCCAGCCUCAGCCACCCCUCCCAGCGCCCCCACUGCCUGGGCUGCGCUGGCCACACCUGCCCUGGCCUGGGGGUGAAACGCCAAGCAGACAGCCUUGUGCUCUGGAGCACCAGCUCCAUAGGGAGGCAGCCAGGGCUCAAAGCCUGGCUCCCACUUAUGGCCAGGGGACCUGA
This 1098-nucleotide long non-coding RNA is filed under the name Sus scrofa (pig). RNAcentral describes it as "lncRNA (ENSSSCG00070021228.1)". The record is from RNAcentral. Lineage: Eukaryota; Metazoa; Chordata; Mammalia; Artiodactyla; Suidae.